This 464-nucleotide ribosomal RNA is filed under the name Vreelandella stevensii. Its description in RNAcentral is "partial 16S ribosomal RNA". It matches the Rfam family "Bacterial small subunit ribosomal RNA", at positions 338 to 795 of the family's 1533-position model. The record is from RNAcentral. Lineage: Bacteria; Pseudomonadati; Pseudomonadota; Gammaproteobacteria; Oceanospirillales; Halomonadaceae.
CCUACGGGUGGCAGCAGUGGGGAAUAUUGGACAAUGGGCGAAAGCCUGAUCCAGCCAUGCCGCGUGUGUGAAGAAGGCCUUCGGGUUGUAAAGCACUUUCAGUGGGGAAGAAAGCCUUGGGGCUAAUACCCUCGAGGAAGGACAUCACCCACAGAAGAAGCACCGGCUAACUCCGUGCCAGCAGCCGCGGUAAUACGGAGGGUGCGAGCGUUAAUCGGAAUUACUGGGCGUAAAGCGCGCGUAGGCGGUCUGAUAAGCCGGUUGUGAAAGCCCCGGGCUCAACCUGGGAACGGCAUCCGGAACUGUCAGGCUAGAGUGCAGGAGAGGAAGGUAGAAUUCCCGGUGUAGCGGUGAAAUGCGUAGAGAUCGGGAGGAAUACCAGUGGCGAAGGCGGCCUUCUGGACUGACACUGACGCUGAGGUGCGAAAGCGUGGGUAGCAAACAGGAUUAGAUACCCCGGAGUC